GUGUUUGCUUCGGCAGCACAUAUACUAAAAUUGGAAUGAUACAGAGAAAAUUAGCAUGGCCCCUGUGCAAGGAUGACAUGCAAAUUCAUGAGCAUUCCAUACUUAAA
Non-coding RNA from Erinaceus europaeus (western European hedgehog), 107 nucleotides. The record is from Rfam. Lineage: Eukaryota; Metazoa; Chordata; Mammalia; Eulipotyphla; Erinaceidae.